Molecule: long non-coding RNA, 539 nt
Organism: Rhineura floridana
Lineage: Eukaryota; Metazoa; Chordata; Lepidosauria; Squamata; Rhineuridae
Exons: 3
Source: RefSeq, a predicted model, not a curated record
AAAGAAAGAAAGAAAGAAAGAAAGAAAGAAAGAAAGAAAGAAAGAAACUAACUCACCCUCUGGGUAGCUACUGCAUUUAAUCCUGUCUUUGAAUGAUUCCUUCUCUUACGGCAUGCUUCAGAGAGACAUCUACUGUACACUGUAGGUAGAAUGAGAUGGGAAGAUUCUGGACUGUGCCACUUCUGGUGACAUUUUGACACAAAUACCCCACAGUAGCACAACCACUAGCACAUCAAACCACACAUUACAAUUGUGGUUAUCCAUCUGUGGAAUGCGCUCCCCAGUGAGGUCCGCCUGGCUCCUUCACUAACAUCUUUUCAACACCAGAUUGCACAUUCACUCUGGAAUUCCAUAUGUAAACCAGAAAACACAAGUGGCUUUUUUGAAUGAUCAAUACAAUCCUUCCAGCAAAUUUAUAAUAAUUUACAGUUUGUUCCUGGAAAGGUAACAAUCUAUUCACCCAGAGAAAAUCCAUUUUGCUUACCUUGUUGUUAUUGUUAAUGUGCUAUUUAUUUAGAUUAAAAUUCCAUUAUCUUUCC